CCUGAGUCCAGCCAAAAACCUUACGUGAAUUGUCUCUCGUGGUCCCGCACGGAACAUGAACGGUGACCUGGAAGUGAAGGCACGUCUCGAGUAACAACAAGCCGACGGAAUUUCAACAAGCCGACGCAACACUGAAAGUUUAAAAUGUUGAAACAUGCGUAGAUCCAGCUUUCGAAAACUUUGACAGUGACAGGAAUGAAAGUAACUUGAAUUGCCUACCAGUAUGAGGUGCAAAGCAAAAAAAUAUCUUUUCAGAUGCACCUAAACCGUGACGUAACUACGUACACAAACUCCGUGCACAGUCUUUCCGUAUGCUAAUAAUGUGUACUAGUUAUAAGGUGUUGGUGGACAUUCGAUUCGUCUGGCUGCUGUUGCUCACAACUCUCUCCGCUGGGUCUUAUGACUUCGUAAUCAGACCGGAGUUCGGCGAAAAGUUUAGUGAGCUCACCGUUAAUGCCUUUGUUGGCCAGACGAGUCACCUUCCUUGCACUGUGAAACACCUUGCGGGGAAACAGGUGUCAUGGAUUCGAGGUCACGACUUGCAAGUGCUUUCUACAGGCCGAAGCACCAUUUCUACAGACCUGCGGAUAUCUGUGUUACCGGGUACAACGUCCAAAGCAAGAAAUCCUAGAGAUAUCAUGUAUCAGGCCUGUCUGCAGUGUACAGGUAUUGGCCGCUUCUCUCUAUCUCCACUUCAUUAUGUAAAAGUUACAGAUGGAGUAUUUAAAACAAGUCAAGGCGAUAGAAAGGACGAAGAAAAACCGCAACGUCGCCAAAGCCUUCAGGGUUGGAAUAGGACCAGACCAAAACAUCGAUCCAAGGGAAGAAGAGAAAGGUAUACAAGAAGCAAGAAAAGAGCACGGUUCAGAAGAGCCCAAGAAUUCAAAUUUGCAUCUGACGUCAUGGUGAGCCUGUACCGUGAAGCGGAAUCUCAUUUGCCCUCACAUUUCUUCAGCAAGCAGAGCAGCUCGCGGAGAUCACCUUUCUACAAUCCACUUAAAAACUCCAUUUCCAUAUAUCCUCAAGGUCCAUUUUUAGGUGAGGAGGACGACAAAUUAUUACAACCAGGGCCCAAUGACAUCGGCGGCAUAUGGGAGCCUGAGGAUUAUACUCUGCAGAUCAAGUAUACACAACUCGAUGAUGCUGGAACCUACAUGUGUCAGAUCAACACUGAACCAGCGCAUCUUCCAGACAGUGUUACUUAAAGUCUUCAAGGUGAAGGCAGAAAUUAUAGGCAGUCAUGAACUGUUUGUCAAAGCUGGAAACCCCGUGACACUUUCUUGUAGAGUGAGCCAUGGAAGCAUGAUCCCAGGCUUCACGCUGUGGUACAAGGAGGAGCGGCUCGUGGAGUAC
Molecule: unclassified non-coding RNA, 1353 nt
Filed under: Penaeus chinensis
Lineage: Eukaryota; Metazoa; Arthropoda; Malacostraca; Decapoda; Penaeidae
Description: uncharacterized LOC125032532, transcript variant X2
Source: RNAcentral